AUGGUAACCACGAUGGGGGCUUACAUUCUGAGAGGAACCUGGAUGGUGACCGUGAGGGAGGCUUGCAUUCAGAGAGGAAACAAAUAUGUAGGAGUGAAGGGCUUAAGUUUGUGUGUGAGACAGAGACUGCCUGAUCAGCGGUCCUCUCCAGCAGGAAGUGCAGUGGUCAACCUCCUCCAUUGUUUCGUGAAGGAUCGUCGAAAACGCCUUUUAGAUCACCUUCCCAACCUCUAUCUUGUUCUAUGGGUAAUUAUCCAAUACAUGUAUUGUGAAAUCUUAGAGUAGUAAACAUAACCAUUAUUGGGUUCAAAGGAAGGCCCAACAUAAUAUUAUAAUGACCCUCACACAAUACACCUGCAUUAUGUGUGCAUUACAGCUGGACAACUUUCUCAUGGCUUCUGGAGGGAAAUGCUGUAGGAAUGCUCAACCGAUGUCGAUCAUUCAGCUGACAGAAACUUUCAACCGGUUCUCCCCAUGUGGGAGCUAAUGUAAUAUAAAUAGGUGCAGCUGCUAGGCUGAAGUAGCAAGGACAUAAGUACAUUGGCCAGAGGACGAGAAGGUGACACCCAGUACAUUUGCUAUUUCUGAGUAGGGUAACAUUCCCAAGAUUCCAUUAAGCUAAACGAACAUGAGUGCAUUAGCCAAGGCCAUAAGUACAUUUAUGACAGCUGGACAAGACGGCCUACAGGGAGGAGGUGACGGCCCUUGGAGUGUGGUGUCAGGAAAAUAACCUCAAGCUCAAUGUAAACAAAACAAAGGAGAUGAUCGUGGACAUCAGGAAACAGCAGAGGGAGCAGCCCCCUAUCUACAUUGGCGGGACAGUAGUGGAGAGGGUGAAGAGUUGUAAGUUCCUCGGUGUACACAUCACGGACAAACUGAAAUGGUCCACCCACACAGACAGCAUGGUGAAGAAGGUGCAGCAGCGCCUCUUCAACCUCAGGAGGUGUAGUGGAAAAUCGGUUCAAAUAUGACAACCAAGAUCUUUGUGAAAAUCAAUAUAGACUUUUAAUACAACAGUAUCUUAAGCCGGAGCGGUCCGCGGAACACACACAUUUUCAGAGCACUCGCUCUGACUUUUUAUACACACAAUCCAUGAGUCCAUCCUACUUCGUGCAUCCUGCUUGUUCAGCCCAGUAACGCCCACAUCUGCUUUCGGUCAGAUUAAAAAUGAUGACAAGACCCUUCCUUUGACCUAAAGAUAAUAUACAGUGCCUUGCGAAAGUAUUCGGCCCCCUUGAACUUUGCGACCUUUUGCCACAUUUCAGGCUUCAAACAUAAAGAUAUAAAACUGUAUUUUUUUGUGAAGAAUCAACAGCAAGUGGGACACAAUCAUGAAGUGGAACGACAUUUAUUGGAUAUUUCAAACUUUUUUAACAAUUCAAAAACGGAAUAAUUGGGCGUGCAAAAUUAUUCAGCCCCCUUAAGUUAAUACUUUGUAGCGCCACCUUUUGCUGCGAUUACAGCUGUUAGUCGCUUGGGGUAUGUCUCUAUCAGUUCUGCACAUCGAGAGACUGAAUUUUUUUCCCAUUCCUCCUUGCAAAACAGCUCGAGCUCAGUGAGGUUGGAUGGAGAGCAUUUGUGAACAGCAGUUUUCAGUUCUUUCCACAGAUUCUCGAUUGGAUUCAGGUCUGGACUUUGACUUGGCCAUUCUAACACCUGGGUAUGUUUAUUUUUGAACCAUUCCAUUGUAGAUUUUGCUUUAUGUUUUGGAUCAUUGUCUUGUUGGAAGACAAAUCUCCGUCCCAGUCUCAGGUCUUUUGCAGACUCCAUCAGGUUUUCUUCCAGAAUGGUCCUCUAUUUGGCUCCAUCCAUCUUCCCAUCAAUUUUAACCAUCUUCCCUGUCCCUGCUGAAGAAAAGCAGGCCCAAACCAUGAUGCUGCCACCACCAUGUUUGACAGUGGGGAUGGUGUGUUCAGAGUGAUGAGCUGUGUUGCUUUUACGCCAAACAUAACGUUUUGCAUUGUUGCCAAAAAGUUCCAUUUUGGUUUCAUCUGACCAGAGCACCUUCUUCCACAUGUUUGGUGUGUCUCCCAGGUGGCUUGUGGCAAACUUUAAACGACACUUUUUAUGGAUAUCUUUAAGAAAUGGCUUUCUUCUUGCCACUCUUCCAUAAAGGCCAGAUUUGUGCAAUAUACGACUGAUUGUUGUCCUAUGGACAGAGUCUCCCACCUCAGCUGUAGAUCUCUGCAGUUCAUCCAGAGUGAUCAUAGGCCUCUUGGCUGCAUCUCUGAUCAGUCUUCUCCUUGUAUGAGCUGAAAGUUUAGAGGGACGGCCAGGUCUUGGUAGAUUUGCAGUGGUCUGAUACUCCUUCCAUUUCAAUAUUAUCGCUUGCACAGUGCUCCUUGGGAUGUUUAAAGCUUGGGAAAUCGUUUUGUAUCCAAAUCCGGCUUUAAACAUCUUCACAGCAGUAUCUCGGACCUGCCUGGUGUGUUCCUUGUUCUUCAUGAUGCUCUCUGCGCUUUUAACGGACCUCUGAGACUAUCACAGUGCAGGUGCAUUUAUACGGAGACUUGAUUACACACAGGUGGAUUGUAUUUAUCAUCAUUAGUCAUUUAGGUCAACAUUGGAUCAUUCAGAGAUCCUCACUGAACUUCUGGAGAGAGUUUGCUGCACUGAAAGUAAAGGGUCUGAAUAAUUUUGCUUAAAUUUGGCUUGUCACCAAAAACAUUCACAAACCUUUACAGAUGCAAAAUCGAGAGCAUCCUGUCGAGCUGUAUCACCGCCUGGUACGGCAGCUGCUCCGCCCAUAACCAGAAGGCUCUUCAGAGGGUAGUGAGGUCUGCACAAUGCAUCACCGGGGGAAAACUACCUGCCCUCCAGGACAUCUACAGGACAUUUACGAUGUCACAGGAAUGCCAAAAAGAUCAUCAAGGACAACAACCAUCCAAGCCACUGCCUGUUCACCCCACUAUCAUUGUGGGAGCUAAGCAUUAAAUAUAAAUAGGUGUAGUUGCCAUGCUGAAGUAGCAAGGACAUGCACAUUAAGAGAAGAUUACCAGCACGGAUUCUGCUACUCUGUAUUAUAGUCUAUAUUGAAUUCACAAGUUCUUGUAAGAGUGUUAUAUUUCUGAGACAAUUUUCCACGACAACAUCCAGAAGGCGAGGUCAGUAGAGGUGCAUCAAAGCGUGGACCGAGAGACUGAAAAACAGCUUCUAUCUCAAGGCCAUCAGACUGUUAUACAGCCAUCACUAACAUUGAGUGGCUCCUGCCAACAUACUGACUCAACUCCAGCUACUUUAAUAAUGGAAAAAUUGAUGUAAUCAAUUUAUCACUAGCCACUUUAUAUUAUAUAAUGUUUACUUACCCUACAUUACUCAUCUCAUAUGUAUAUAUUGUACGCUAUACCAUCUACUGUAUCUUGCCACCUUGAUGUAAUUAAAUGUAUCACUGUUAGGAAUAUUAUGAAUAAUGACUAAACAAUAUCUACAUUUUAAAUAGAACUAUAACUAAUGAAACUUAUACUCUGUUUUAUUAUAUCUGAUUAAACAAUAUUCAUUCAUAAGGAAGGGAUUGUGGAGCAUGAAACAGGGGGUAAUUAAAUUAAAUAAAUACCAUUCCAGCCAGGUUGGAGAGGACUGGAAUUGUGGGUUUUUAAGUAAGCAAAAAGGGUCGUUAACCUAUGGUUGAACCGACUCAACUUAGCUCUGGGAUGUUUAGAUAAGGCAGAGAGUGUUUUCCUGGGUUUUCCAUUAUCUGGAACUGUCUUCUAAAUAGUGAUGGAUGAAGGUGAAGAUUCCAGAAGUUAAUCUAGAUAAGUGUGUGUCUGGAGUGAGCGAGCUAGUGGGUUGGAAUAAACUAUUGAACCCGUUCUGUCCUUGUCGAUAGGAGGAAGGAGA
This 3837-nucleotide long non-coding RNA is filed under the name Oncorhynchus kisutch (coho salmon). Its description in RNAcentral is "lncRNA (ENSOKIG00005012043.1)". Lineage: Eukaryota; Metazoa; Chordata; Actinopteri; Salmoniformes; Salmonidae. The record is from RNAcentral.